Non-coding RNA from Acanthosepion pharaonis, 113 nucleotides. NCBI's taxonomy places the organism in Eukaryota, Metazoa, Mollusca, Cephalopoda, Sepiida, Sepiidae. The record is from the annotation of a GenBank genome assembly.
UACGGCCAUAUAAUAUUGAAACACCGGUUCUCGUACGAUCACCGAAGUUAAGCAACGUCGAGUCUGGUCAGUACCCAGAUGGGUAACCGUUUGGGAAUAUCAGGUGUUGUAAG